GUGGAUUAGAUACCCUGGUAGUCCACGCCGUAAACGUUGGGCGCUAGGUGUGGGACUCAUUCCACGAGUUCCGUGCCGCAGCUAACGCAUUAAGCGCCCCGCCUGGGGAGUACGGCCGCAAGGCUAAAACUCAAAGGAAUUGACGGGGGCCCGCACAAGCGGCGGAGCAUGCGGAUUAAUUCGAAGCAACGCGAAGAACCUUACCUGGGUUUGACAUAUAGGGAAAUCUCCUGGAGACAGGAGGUCCGUAAGGGCUCUAUACAGGUGGUGCACGGUUGUCGACAACU
This 287-nucleotide ribosomal RNA is filed under the name uncultured bacterium. RNAcentral describes it as "partial 16S ribosomal RNA". It matches the Rfam family "Bacterial small subunit ribosomal RNA", at positions 773 to 1060 of the family's 1533-position model. The record is from RNAcentral.